RNAcentral lists this ribosomal RNA (600 nucleotides) under Candidatus Saccharimonadota bacterium. Its description in RNAcentral is "partial 23S ribosomal RNA". It matches the Rfam family "Bacterial large subunit ribosomal RNA", at positions 1 to 501 of the family's 2925-position model. The record is from RNAcentral. Lineage: Bacteria; Candidatus Saccharimonadota.
AAAAAGGUAAUUAAGGGCACUGAUAGUGGAUGCCUUGACAAUCAACACCGAUGAAGGACGUAGGACUCUGCGAUAAGCCUCGGGGAUCUGAGAACGAGAAAUGAUCCGGGGAUUUCCGAAUGGGGAAACCUAAUGUGAGUUAUGUCACAUUGUCUCUAUCUGAACACAUAGGGUAGAAAACGGGAACUGACCGAACUGAAUCAUCUUAGUAGGUCCAGGAAAAGAAAAUAACCAAUGAUUCCGAAAGUAGUGGCGAGCGAAAUUGGAACAGUCUAAACCUUAAGAUAACCAUACGGUUUAACGGCCAGAGUUAUUAAAGGGGUUGCGAAAUUAGAUAAUUUUUAUGCUGAAUGUCUCUAAAUGGGAUGUUUGGCAUAAAAACCAACAGCGUUAACUGAGUGGAUAAAGAUACAAUCCUUUAGAUCGUAGCAGAAGCUUCUGGAAUGGAGCGCCAAAGGAGGUGAAAGCCCUGUACGCGAAACGGUCUUAGGCUUUAUAUAUCUUUUUUCAAGUAGGACGGGGCACGAGAAACCCUGUUUGAAUCCGGCAGGACCACCUGCCAAGGCUAAAUAUAUUGAUUGAUCGAUAGCGAACUAGUAC